This 497-nucleotide ribosomal RNA is filed under the name uncultured bacterium. RNAcentral's name for it is "partial 16S ribosomal RNA". It matches the Rfam family "Bacterial small subunit ribosomal RNA", at positions 28 to 507 of the family's 1533-position model. The record is from RNAcentral.
GAUGAACGCUGGCGGCGUGCCUAAUACAUGCAAGUCGAGCGAACAGACGAGGAGCUUGCUCCUCUGACGUUAGCGGCGGACGGGUGAGUAACACGUGGAUAACCUACCUAUAAGACUGGGAUAACUUCGGGAAACCGGAGCUAAUACCGGAUAAUAUAUUGAACCGCAUGGUUCAAUAGUGAAAGACGGUUUUGCUGUCACUUAUAGAUGGAUCCGCGCCGCAUUAGCUAGUUGGUAAGGUAACAGCUUACCAAGGCGACGAUGCGUAGCCGACCUGAGAGGGUGAUCGGCCACACUGGAGCUGAGACACGGUCCAGACUCCUACGGGAGGCAGCAGUAGGGAAUCUUCCGCAAUGGGCGAAAGCCUGACGGAGCAACGCCGCGUGAGUGAUGAAGGUCUUCGGAUCGUAAAACUCUGUUAUUAGGGAAAAACAAAUGUGUAAGUAACUAUGCACGUCUUGACGGUACCUAAUCAGAAAGCCACGGCUAACUACGUG